This 552-nucleotide ribosomal RNA is filed under the name Bacillus sp. (in: firmicutes). RNAcentral's name for it is "bacterial SSU rRNA". It matches the Rfam family "Bacterial small subunit ribosomal RNA", at positions 77 to 611 of the family's 1533-position model. The record is from RNAcentral. Lineage: Bacteria; Bacillati; Bacillota; Bacilli; Caryophanales; Bacillaceae.
AGCUUGCUCUUAUGAAGUUAGCGGCGGACGGGUGAGUAACACGUGGGUAACCUGCCCAUAAGACUGGGAUAACUCCGGGUAAACCGGGGCUAAUACCGGAUAACAUUUUGAACCGCAUGGUUCGAAAUUGAAAGGCGGCUUCGGCUGUCACUUAUGGAUGGACCCGCGUCGCAUUAGCUAGUUGGUGAGGUAACGGCUCACCAAGGCAACGAUGCGUAGCCGACCUGAGAGGGUGAUCGGCCACACUGGGACUGACACACGGCCCAGACUCCUACGGGAGGCAGCAGUAGGGAAUCUUCCGCAAUGGACGAAAGUCUGACGGAGCAACGCCGCGUGAGUGAUGAAGGCUUUCGGGUCGUAAAACUCUGUUGUUAGGGAAGAACAAGUGCUAGUUGAAUAAGCUGGCACCUUGACGGUACCUAACCAGAAAGCCACGGCUAACUACGUGCCAGCAGCCGCGGUAAUACGUAGGUGGCAAGCGUUAUCCGGAAUUAUUGGGCGUAUAGCGCGCGCACGUGGUUUCUUAAGUCUGAUGUGAAAGCCCACGGCUCA